GUCCACGCCGUAAACGAUGAAUGCCAGUCGUUGGGAGGUUUACCUUUCAGUGACGCAGCUAACGCUUUAAGCAUUCCGCCUGGGGAGUACGGUCGCAAGAUUAAAACUCAAAGGAAUUGACGGGGCCCGCACAAGCGGUGGAGCAUGUGGUUUAAUUCGACGCAACGCGCAGAACCUUACCGGCUCUUGACAUGCCAAUGACUGUUGCCAGAGAUGGCUUCGUUCCUUCGGGACAUUGGACACAGGUGCUGCAUGGCUGUCGU
RNAcentral lists this ribosomal RNA (263 nucleotides) under uncultured bacterium. RNAcentral's name for it is "partial 16S ribosomal RNA". It matches the Rfam family "Bacterial small subunit ribosomal RNA", at positions 793 to 1055 of the family's 1533-position model. The record is from RNAcentral.